Molecule: ribosomal RNA, 495 nt
Filed under: uncultured bacterium
Lineage: Bacteria
Description: partial 16S ribosomal RNA
Rfam family: Bacterial small subunit ribosomal RNA
Source: RNAcentral
GACGAACGCUGGCGGCGUGCCUAAUACAUGCAAGUAGGACGCUGAAGGAGGAGCUUGCUUCUCUGGAUGAGUUGCGAACGGGUGAGUAACGCGUAGGUAACCUGCCUGGUAGCGGGGGAUAACUAUUGGAAACGAUAGCUAAUACCGCAUAAUAGUAGAUGUUGCAUGACAUUUGCUUAAAAGGUGCAAUUGCAUCACUACCAGAUGGACCUGCGUUGUAUUAGCUAGUUGGUGGGGUAACGGCUCACCAAGGCGACGAUACAUAGCCGACCUGAGAGGGUGAUCGGCCACACUGGGACUGAGACACGGCCCAGACUCCUACGGGAGGCAGCAGUAGGGAAUCUUCGGCAAUAGACGGAAGUCUGACCGAGCAACGCCGCGUGAGUGAAGAAGGGUUUCGGAUCGUAAAGCUCUGUUGUAUGAGAAGAACGAGGGUGAGAGUGGAAAGUUCACACUGUGACGGUAUCUUACCAGAAAGGGACGGCUAACUACGUG